GACGAACGCUGGCGGCGUGCCUAAUACAUGCAAGUCGAACGCACUCUCGUUUAGAUUGCAGGAGUUUGCUCCUGAUUGAUAAACAUUUGAGUGAGUGGCGGACGGGUGAGUAACACGUGGGUAACCUGCCCUAAAGUGGGGGAUAGCAUUUGGAAACAGAUGCUAAUACCGCAUAAAACCUAACACCGCAUGGUGUAGGGUUGAAAGAUGGUUUCGGCUAUCACUUUAGGAUGGACCCGCGGUGCAUUAGUUAGUUGGUGAGGUAAAGGCUCACCAAGACCGUGAUGCAUAGCCGCCCUGAGGGGGUAAUCGGCCACACUGGGGCUGAGACACGGCCCAGACUCCUACGGGAGGCAGCAGUAGGGAAUCUUCCACAAUGGACGAAAGUCUGAAGGAGCAACGCCGGGUGAGUGAAGAAGGUUUUCGGAUCGUAAAACUCUGUUGUUGGAUAAGAAUGUAUCUGAUAGUAACUGAUCAGGUAGGGACGGGAUCCAACCAGAAAGCCCCGGCUAACUACGU
RNAcentral lists this ribosomal RNA (519 nucleotides) under uncultured bacterium. RNAcentral describes it as "partial 16S ribosomal RNA". It matches the Rfam family "Bacterial small subunit ribosomal RNA", at positions 28 to 506 of the family's 1533-position model. The record is from RNAcentral.